AUUGAACGCUGGCGGCAGGCCUAACACAUGCAAGUCGAGCGGAUGAAGGGAGCUUGCUCCUGGAUUCAGCGGCGGACGGGUGAGUAAUGCCUAGGAAUCUGCCUGGUAGUGGGGGAUAACGUCCGGAAACGGGCGCUAAUACCGCAUACGUCCUGAGGGAGAAAGUGGGGGAUCUUCGGACCUCACGCUAUCCGAUGAGCCUAGGUCGGAUUAGCUAGUUGGUGGGGUAAAGGCCUACCAAGGCGACGAUCCGUAACUGGUCUGAGAGGAUGAUCAGUCACACUGGAACUGAGACACGGUCCAGACUCCUACGGGAGGCAGCAGUGGGGAAUAUUGGACAAUGGGCGAAAGCCUGAUCCAGCCAUGCCGCGUGUGUGAGGAAGGUCUUCGGAUUGUAAAGCACUUUAAGUUGGGAGGAAGGGCAGUAAGUUAAUACCUUGCUGUUUUGACGUUACCAACAGAAUAAGCACCGGCUAACUUCGUG
This 484-nucleotide ribosomal RNA is filed under the name uncultured bacterium. Its description in RNAcentral is "partial 16S ribosomal RNA". It matches the Rfam family "Bacterial small subunit ribosomal RNA", at positions 30 to 507 of the family's 1533-position model. The record is from RNAcentral.